This 301-nucleotide ribosomal RNA is filed under the name uncultured bacterium. Its description in RNAcentral is "partial 16S ribosomal RNA". It matches the Rfam family "Bacterial small subunit ribosomal RNA", at positions 509 to 809 of the family's 1533-position model. The record is from RNAcentral.
CAGUAGCUGCGGUAAUACAGAGGGUGCGAGCGUUAAUCGGAUUUACUGGGCGUAAAGCGUGCGUAGGCGGCUUUUUAAGUCGGAUGUGAAAUCCCUGAGCUUAACUUAGGAAUUGCAUUCGAUACUGGGAAGCUAGAGUAUGGGAGAGGAUGGUAGAAUUCCAGGUGUAGCGGUGAAAUGCGUAGAGAUCUGGAGGAAUACCGAUGGCGAAGGCAGCCAUCUGGCCUAAUACUGACGCUGAGGUACGAAAGCAUGGGGAGCAAACAGGAUUAGAUACCCGGGUAGUCCCUGUCUCUUAUAA